AACGUAGGAGACAAACGUUAUCCGGAGUUACUGGGCGUAAAGGGCGUGUAGGUGGUUGCGUAAGUCUGGCGUGAAAUUUUUCGGCUUAACCGGGAAAGGUCGUCGGAUACUGCGUAACUAGAGGACGGUAGAGGCGUGUGGAAUUCCGGGUGUAGUGGUGAAAUGCGUAGAGAUCCGGAGGAACACCAGUGGCGAAGGCGACUACCUGGCCUGUUUCUUGACGCUGAGGCGCGAAAGCUAGGGGAGCAAACGGG
RNAcentral lists this ribosomal RNA (254 nucleotides) under uncultured bacterium. RNAcentral describes it as "partial 16S ribosomal RNA". It matches the Rfam family "Bacterial small subunit ribosomal RNA", at positions 524 to 776 of the family's 1533-position model. The record is from RNAcentral.